RNAcentral lists this ribosomal RNA (254 nucleotides) under uncultured bacterium. RNAcentral's name for it is "partial 16S ribosomal RNA". It matches the Rfam family "Bacterial small subunit ribosomal RNA", at positions 524 to 776 of the family's 1533-position model. The record is from RNAcentral.
UACGUAGGGUGCAAGCGUUGUCCGGAAUUAUUGGGCGUAAAGAGCUCGUAGGCGGUCUGUCGCGUCGGCUGUGAAAACCCGGGGCUCAACCCCGGGCCUGCAGUCGAUACGGGCAGACUAGAGUGAUGUAGGGGAGACUGGAAUUCCUGGUGUAGCGGUGAAAUGCGCAGAUAUCAGGAGGAACACCGAUGGCGAAGGCAGGUCUCUGGGCAUUAACUGACGCUGAGGAGCGAAAGCAUGGGGAGCGAAACAGG